GAUGAACGCUGGCGGCGUGCCUAAUACAUGCAAGUAGAACGCUGAAGGAAGGAGCUUGCUCUUUCCGGAUGAGUUACGAACGGGUGAGUAACGCGUAGGUAACCUGCCUGGUAGCGGGGGAUAACUAUUGGAAACGAUAGCUAAUACCGCAUAACAGUAGAUGUUGCAUGAUAUCUACUUAAAAGGUGCAAUUGCACCACUACCAGAUGGACCUGCGUUGUAUUAGCUAGUUGGUGAGGUAACGGCUCACCAAGGCGACGAUACAUAGCCGACCUGAGAGGGUGAUCGGCCACACUGGGACUGAGACACGGCCCAGACUCCUACGGGAGGCAGCAGUAGGGAAUCUUCGGCAAUGGACGGAAGUCUGACCGAGCAACGCCGCGGGAGUGAAGAAGGUUUUCGGAUCGUAAAGCUCUGUUGUAAGAGAAGAACGAGUGUGAGAGUGGAAAGUUCACACUGUGACGGUAUCUUACCAGAAAGGGACGGCUAACUACGUG
RNAcentral lists this ribosomal RNA (497 nucleotides) under uncultured bacterium. RNAcentral's name for it is "partial 16S ribosomal RNA". It matches the Rfam family "Bacterial small subunit ribosomal RNA", at positions 28 to 507 of the family's 1533-position model. The record is from RNAcentral.